CGAGUUUGAUCCUGGCUCAGGACGAACGCUGGCGGUGCGCCUUAUGCAUGCAAGUCGAGCGAAGCUUUUCAGUAGUUUACUACAGAAAAUGACUGAGCGGCGAACGGGUGAGUAACGCGUGAGCAAUCUACCUUAGUUACAGGGAUAGCCCGAGGAAACUCGGAUUAAUACCUGAUAUUCUUUACAUUUCGCAUGAAAUCAAAAGGAAAGGUCAGCCGAACUAAGAUGAGCUCGCGUUCUAUCAGCUAGUUGGUGAGGUAAAAGCUCACCAAGGCAACGACGGAUAGCUGGUCUGAGAGGACGAUCAGCCACACUGGGACUGAGACACGGCCCAGACUCCUACGGGAGGCUGCAGCAGGGAAUAUUGCGCAAUGAGCGAAAGCUUGACGCAGCGACACCGCGUGUGGGAUGACGGAUCUAGGUUUGUAAACCACUUUCAGGAGGGAAGAAAAUGACGGUACCUCCACAAGAAGCCCCGGCCAACUACGUGCCAGCAGCCGCGGUAAUACGUAGGGGGCGAGCGUUGUCCGGAUUUAUUGGGCGUAAAGAGCUCGUAGGCGGUUCAACAAGUCGUUCGUAAAAGUUCAGGGCUCAACCCUGAAAUGUCGAUCGAUACUGUUGUGACUAGGAUACGGUAGAGGUGAGUGGAAUUCCGAGUGUAGCGGUGAAAUGCGUAGAUAUU
RNAcentral lists this ribosomal RNA (682 nucleotides) under uncultured bacterium. RNAcentral describes it as "bacterial SSU rRNA". It matches the Rfam family "Bacterial small subunit ribosomal RNA", at positions 9 to 698 of the family's 1533-position model. The record is from RNAcentral.